RNAcentral lists this long non-coding RNA (907 nucleotides) under Monodelphis domestica (gray short-tailed opossum). RNAcentral's name for it is "lncRNA (ENSMODG00000033467.2)". Lineage: Eukaryota; Metazoa; Chordata; Mammalia; Didelphimorphia; Didelphidae. The record is from RNAcentral.
AAAAAUGUACAGUAUAUGGAAAAAUCAGGAAAAGUAUGUGUUCUAUUUGUCUUCUAGAUAUCUCUUCAAGUUUUCCCCUAGAGAUGCAAUUGUUUUCUAAGAGCUUUUUGACAUGAACAGAGUAGUUUCUCUAUUGUGGGCACCUUUAUGGAAAGUGGAAGGCCAAGAGAGGAUGGCAGGCUGCGGGCUAUCGGAAGAUGCCUUCUUCUCUUCUUUCUUUUACAACUACAGCUCCUCCUGGGAAACCUCCUACAACCAGUGAACACUCAGAGGCAGCUGGUGCUGUGCUGUGACACUUAUGCAAAGGCCACCACAAGGUAAUGUCUUUUCUUGGCCUUUUGGAUUUGAACCAGUGACCUGGAGGUGAGAAAUUCUGUAUUCCAUUACCAGUCCUUUGAGCCCUCCAGUGCACCCUGAUAUAGCCGUGAUACUUGUUGUCAUGUGUGGCAUGUCACAUCCGUUCAUGAGGAAAACCUACACCCAAAGGAAAGAGAAUACUCUGUACAAAUCCCAUGAUAGCAGCUUGGUAAUUAACAGCUCCAGCUUCCCUGAUUGGGAGAUGACUAAUAUUAACUCAUUGCCAGACUGUUAAUAAUCAUAAAUGGGGGGUUAUUCCAUAUCAACACCCCCUUAGUGGGCUCUUGUUUUUGUUUCUCAUUAACUAAAGUGAUUUUUCUUGUUAGAGGGAAUAAUUUUAAUCAUUACUCUAGAGGAGGCCAGAGGGACUCAAGUGAGGGCUCCAUGAUAUUCCAAGGUGGUCGGAAUGUUGUCAUUAAUGAGAAUCAACAGUCCACAGGUAACAACUGGCUGUCAUCUCCACUGAUGAUCCUCUGAGGGUGGAAAAAAGUCAUUACAAAGACCAGCGAGGCUCAGUGUUGUUUUGUUAAUAAAAGCUUUAUAAAAACCA